UAGUGUUACAGGUCUUUUAAAGUUUGUCUAAUAGGCUUUCUGGUUUUUGCUAGAAAGCCCCA
This is a small nuclear RNA of Chlorocebus sabaeus (green monkey), 62 nucleotides long. Its record names the gene U7. It matches the Rfam family "U7 small nuclear RNA". Rfam says of the family: Animal histone pre-mRNAs are spliced by a different mechanism than nuclear pre-mRNAs and self-splicing introns. This processing involves the U7 snRNP, which contains only one RNA species: U7. Lineage: Eukaryota; Metazoa; Chordata; Mammalia; Primates; Cercopithecidae. The record is from Ensembl.